CUGGUGAAAUGGGCAGAAGGGAUAGAGCAGAUGAGGGGGAUCAGAAAGAGAAGGGGUGCUCACAGAAAAAAUAAGGGGACAAAAAAAAAGGGAGCUGGUCUUUGAUUCAGUUGGGGUCCAUAUUCACAAAGAGAUCACUCAGAGAUUUCAUACAAAUGGCAGGAGCAGAAUGCGAGCACACCGAGGGGCCUAAUGCAGGCACUUGUCCUGUAAUCAAAGAUUCAGCUCGACGUGAGUCCUUUGUGAGACAACAGCAUCAUUCUCCACCCGGGUUCACCCCUGAAUGCAGAGCAGCUCUCUAAAGCAAGGCAGGACGAGCCUCGCCUUUCUUUGUCUUGUGAAGCUGAGGAUGUUUGCGUGAGGGAGGCACUGACGGGGAGAGGAGAGCAGAGCAGCAGAUGGGCGGAAUGGAAUGGCGGGGCGAGAGCGGCUCAGCCUGCCGUGGUGGGACGUGCGGCAGCAUGGCUGACAGCUCCAGGCAGCGAGCACCAUGGCGUCCUCCUCUGCGUUUCCAGAUGUCUCCAGAUCAGCACUGGAUGCCUUUCCAAUAGUCAAAUACAAGCAAUUCAUUUCACAGAAUAUCUGUGGUUUGAAAUUCAGAGGAAGAUAAAAAUGGCUUACCCUGGCCUUCAGAGCUCUAAGUAUCACAGAUAGGAAAUCCUGGAAUCCUGGAUGUAAGUGUAAUUGAGGUGUACGCAGGAAAAGACACUUUGCGUUGUGAAAAGUAACUAUUCUUUUCAAACCUUUUCUCUUUUUAUUCUGUUGGCUGCACCCAAGAAGUCAUACGCAUAUCAGAGAAUGUUACUGUUCAGAUCAGAUCUAUUGACAUAAUUAACUUAUUUGCAAACAGUUUCAUGUAUUUUUGUCUGAGUCUGCCUUCCUGCAUACACCAAAACUACCCUGAUUCAGCUCCUAGUGAAUUAGGGUGGUGUACAGCAAAUAAAGGAACAAUCAUUGAGUCCAAACAUAUUUGCAUUCUUAAUAUGGUGCGCACAUUCAGGCAAGAGGCAAUUUGCAUGAAGACCAUGAGCCAAAUGCAGUUCUGACAGUAGCAGGCAUAACUUUAUUCAAAUCAGACAAGCAGCAGGCAUUUACAAGGGGCCAGAAUAGGUGCUGUGUGCUUGCUGCACGUCCAUGCUCAGCAUAAUGCACUGCUCUUGAUCAAAACCUCACAUUUUCCAUAGAUGGACCAAUGCUUAUCAGAACUGAAUACAAAUUUCAGCUGUAGGAUGGGGUGUACACUUGCAGUACCUGACAAAAUGUAUAGUUUGCUUUUAAGCCUCGCUUUCAGUGUGAAGAGUAAUUCAUACUUUUAAAAAACACCCUCUUUUCAAGCUUUCAUUGCAUGGAUUAGCUAAGAAGCAGCAUGCCAGGAUGCCUCUGGCCACCUUCAAAACCUCCUUGUAAACUCAGGCACAAGCAGAAUCAGCUUCACUUCGUCCCAAGUAUUAGUGCUUUGUUUUAAAGUUGCAGUUUUCUGAGUGUUGCUCCUAAUACUUUAAUGGUGGUUGUAUACCCCAGUGCUGGUGCUGUGUCUUGCUGCGUUUCAGCAAAUGUUGUGAGGAAUCUACAGCAAUUAGCUGUUCAUGCCUCUGCUUUCCUGUUUUGUGCCUUCUCUUUCAUGUAUCAGAUGUUUGUAAGUUUUCCAUUAGACAUUUCCUGCUUCUAAUAGAUGUUUGUGAGGCUCUUGCUUUGAGCUAUCAAGGCUCCAAUUUGUGCUGAGAUGUUUGGUUUUGGUUUAGGGCUGAGAGGUCUUUGUACUCCUUUCUUCCUAGAAAACAUUAUAAUCUGGAAAAAAUAAAUAAAUUGUACUUUGCAAAAAGUGAAUAUGAC
Molecule: long non-coding RNA, 1833 nt
Organism: Gallus gallus (chicken)
Lineage: Eukaryota; Metazoa; Chordata; Aves; Galliformes; Phasianidae
Source: Ensembl